Long non-coding RNA from Lethenteron reissneri (Far Eastern brook lamprey), 604 nucleotides. RefSeq lists it as uncharacterized. The record is from RefSeq and is a predicted model, not a curated record. Lineage: Eukaryota; Metazoa; Chordata; Hyperoartia; Petromyzontiformes; Petromyzontidae.
UUCCAGGUGUCCUCGCCGCUUACAGGAUGGCUCCCCACGCGGCAACGGGGUUUUCUCCCUUCUUUCUUAUGUAUGGCCAGGACGCUGAUCCGCCCGUGGAUGCCCAGUUGGGGAUUUCCGAACCCCGUGCUAAGUCGAAAUUGGCUGAUCACAUCAAAUUUAAAAUUUCUAAAUUGGCCGAGGCACGGGAAGCAGCGAGGUUGAACUCGAGAUCUUGCCAGAUGGCGAACGAGCGGUUGCAUGCACAGCGGAUUCAGGACUGGGGCUACGCAUGGCACAAGGCCUCAACACGCCUAUGCUACUCUUCAACUUCCAUCAUCAUCAUCAGCCAUGGUCAGUCCACUUGUGGAUGAAAGCCUCCCCAAGUUGCUGCCACAUCUCACAACCCGGCGAUGUAACAAUCCAUCUAGCAGCUUCAGACGCUGAUCGCAGACGUGUGGUCACUUCGAACGUGCGCAGGGUCACGCCGAAGAUGUCCUCGUGGUAGCGGCCUUCGUCCUGUGGCAAGAGGGAUGAGCAGCACGCGACGCCGGGAAGGAAACCAGGGAACAUGGAGGAAACCCAUACAGAACAAGGGGAGAACAUACAAACUUCACAUAGAAAG